CAAUAGCGUAUAUUAAAGUUGUUGCAGUUAAAAAGCUCGUAGUUGAAUUUUUGCUUGCCGCCGAUGUCGGAACUUCCGUACGUUCGGCGGCGUGCAUCCUUGGGUGGAACCUGUGUGGCAUUAGGUUGUCGUGCAGGGGAUGCUCAUCGUUUACUGUGAAAAAAUUAGAGUGUUCAAAGCAGGCUUACGCCGUUGAAUAUAUUAGCAUGGAAUAAUAAGAUAGGACCUUGGUACUAUUUUGUUGGUUUGCGCACCGAGGUAAUGAUUAACAGGGACAGUUGGGGGUAUUCGUAUUCCAUUGUCAGAGGUGAAAUUCUUGGGUUUCUGGAAGACGAACUACUGCGAAAGCAUUUACCAAGGAUGUUUUCAUUAA
This 373-nucleotide ribosomal RNA is filed under the name uncultured eukaryote. RNAcentral's name for it is "partial 18S ribosomal RNA". It matches the Rfam family "Eukaryotic small subunit ribosomal RNA", at positions 592 to 976 of the family's 1831-position model. The record is from RNAcentral.